UGAUAGAGGUGCAUUUUUCAAAAGUAUUCUGAGACUACGGAGGGGCCCGGAAGGCCGUUUCAGAAGAAAGGGGAAGAUGCCGAAGGGACUGCAGACCCGAAUGCGGUUCCUGGGACACAGCAGAAUAUGCUGUGGACUGUCACUUUGGUGGAGCGCUAUCAGAU
Molecule: non-coding RNA, 164 nt
Filed under: uncultured Coprococcus sp.
Lineage: Bacteria; Bacillati; Bacillota; Clostridia; Lachnospirales; Lachnospiraceae
Description: Lysine riboswitch
Rfam family: Lysine riboswitch aptamer
About the family: Riboswitches are metabolite binding domains within certain messenger RNAs that serve as precision sensors for their corresponding targets. Allosteric rearrangement of mRNA structure is mediated by ligand binding, and this results in modulation of gene expression. This family includes riboswitches that sense lysine in a number of genes involved in lysine metabolism, including lysC.
Source: RNAcentral